RNAcentral lists this ribosomal RNA (435 nucleotides) under uncultured bacterium. RNAcentral describes it as "bacterial SSU rRNA". It matches the Rfam family "Bacterial small subunit ribosomal RNA", at positions 337 to 788 of the family's 1533-position model. The record is from RNAcentral.
UCCUACGGGAGGCAGCAGUGGGGAAUAUUGCGCAAUGGGCGAAAGCCUGACACAGCAACGCCGCGUGGGGGAAGAAGGCCUUCGGGUUGUAAACCCCUUUUCUCAGGGAAGAAAAAUGACGGUACCUGAGGAAUAAGUCUUGGCUAACUACGUGCCAGCAGCCGCGGUAAUACGUAGAAGGCAAGCGUUAUCCGGAUUUACUGGGCGUAAAGAGGGUGUAGGCGGCCUUUCAAGUCGGAUGUAAAAUCUCCCGGCUUAACUGGGAGGGAUUGUUCGAUACUGUUGGGCUAGAGAGCAGCAGAGGGAGGUGGAAUUCCCGGUGUAGUGGUGAGAUACGUAGAUAUCGGGAGGAACACCAGUGGCGAAGGCGACCUCCUGGGCUGUUGCUGACGUUGAGGCCCGAAGGCGUGGGGAGCAAACAGGAUUAGAUACCCG